AUGGCUGCGGAGAAACUUGAUGACGGCCAUGGAGUUCACGUCCUCAUGCCUACGGUGAUCCUCACGGAAGUCUUCCUCGAGCUCACUGCCCCAGUGGAGUGCAGUGCAGACCACAACAUCAUCACCAUUGACAGCAACAACCAUGCUGCACCGACGCCUAUCACAUGUUUGACAGAGUGCCCGAGUCACGCCGCCGCCGUUGACAUCUCCCCUAAGCUGGCAGCUUCUACUCUAUGCGGAGAGACCGUCGACAUCGAAGCCAUCAGUGUUGCUGCACCAACAUUCGAUGUGUGUUCUAUUGUUGGUCCGACCAAUGCUGAAGUCAACAGUUAUGUGCCGGUGCCCCUCAUUGUGUGGAGUGUCAACCCAUUCUCCGCAGCUCCCCUCAAGGUCGUGCCAACCAUAGCGCAUUGGUCAUGUUCCACCCCCAAAUUGGACACCAUGGCGUCAACAAGGUGUUGGACCCUCUGCCUCGACCACAUUGGUGCGUUGACGCCCACGUACAUGCUGGAUAAGAAUGUGAACAUAAGGCAACAAGCACAAAUGUUACGACCAAUGCCAUGGCCAUCAUUUAAGUGCCAUUCAGAAGCAAGCAGUCCUCAAGAUCCACGCCCAGCAACUCAAGGUAUAUUUGGGAAACUAUCUACAUGUCAGCCACACGAGGAUCUCAAUGGUUGGGCUGCCAGUUUGGUCUUGCAUUGGAAUAGCUCAUUUGAUGGACACUAUUUAUAA
Molecule: ribosomal RNA, 732 nt
Filed under: Triticum aestivum (bread wheat)
Lineage: Eukaryota; Viridiplantae; Streptophyta; Magnoliopsida; Poales; Poaceae
Description: partial small subunit ribosomal RNA
Source: RNAcentral